AAACUACACCAUCAAACCCUGGCUAGCAACCGUGCUUCCCUGAAAUGGAUCGGCCGUCCUGAAUGUGACUGUUAAAGGGCUGGCAAGCUGCUCGGACCGAUGUUGGACAUGUUUACUGUGAGUGCAGGCAGGAGCUAUGUGGAGAUAGAAGAAAUUCCAGGUGAAAGAUCAGCCCAUCACAUACAGCCAAGUUGCCAGCUCAAUGGUCAAUCCAGCACGGAUGGAAAAAGUGCAAGGAGUCAGCCAGAUUCGAACCCGGGACCACUCUCCUCAAACUCCAGUGUGGCUGCCACCUCACCACCGGUUGGCUAAAAUACAGCACUGGCUUCGUAGGAACAUCAAGAAGAUACAAGAGAAACACGGAGUGCACUGGAAUCCAUUCCUCUGGCUUCGAUUUUUG
Long non-coding RNA from Mobula hypostoma (lesser devil ray), 400 nucleotides. RefSeq lists it as uncharacterized. The record is from RefSeq and is a predicted model, not a curated record. NCBI's taxonomy places the organism in Eukaryota, Metazoa, Chordata, Chondrichthyes, Myliobatiformes, Myliobatidae. The transcript is spliced from 4 exons.